AUGGAAGUGAUGAUUAUUUCCCCAGAUGAUCGACGCUGAUUAGAACUGAGCAAUUUUAUUUUAUUUUAUUUUUUUCUCUCUUUUGAGAAACCAAGCCAAGUGUUUCUGAUCCAU
Molecule: small nucleolar RNA, 114 nt
Organism: Alnus glutinosa
Lineage: Eukaryota; Viridiplantae; Streptophyta; Magnoliopsida; Fagales; Betulaceae
Product: small nucleolar RNA Z103
Exons: 1
Source: RefSeq, a predicted model, not a curated record